This is a long non-coding RNA of Ailuropoda melanoleuca (giant panda), 2019 nucleotides long. RefSeq lists it as uncharacterized. NCBI's taxonomy places the organism in Eukaryota, Metazoa, Chordata, Mammalia, Carnivora, Ursidae. The record is from RefSeq and is a predicted model, not a curated record. The transcript is spliced from 3 exons.
UGAAAAAUGAAUUGUUUUUCUGAAGCAAUUGUGAACAGAUGUGUAAUUCCCCGCUCUCAGGAAUGUGCUGGGAAUCCCUCACAUCACCUUAAAGGGGCAGAGUGCCAAGGGCAGUGUUGAUAUUCAACACCUGCGGGGCUUAGCCUCGCCCUAAAGACAGGGCAGAGAGAACCCAGGUCACCUUCACUGGCGGUUCAGGGCUUCUAAAUUUGGCCGUGGGAGCAGACUUGCUUCCUUUUGGCAAUUGAUCUGAGCAGCAGAAGCCCACUCCGAGGGUCCGAGAAUCACAUUUACAAGCCAUGGGGGUGAAGGCUGUGCUAAUUGGCCACUUGCCUCACCCCUGGCUUUUAAACAAUCCGGUGUAUUCUCUGCCUGUCAGGAAGCAGCAGGCCCAUCAAGGCUCUGGGCUCCCUCUUUGUUCUGACUUUAUGGCAUUUUAUGCCACAAUGAGAAACACUGUGUGCUCCGUGGGAGCCCAUUGUGCCAGGCUGCAAGGAUGUGGGCUCCUGCGUGGAGGGCGGGUGCUCUCCCCCCAGAAGAGGGGCUUUGUGACAGGCUGGUGGGCAAAACAAGGGGUGCCGGACACUGUUACUGGGGCAACUGCUGGCCAGUGUGGAGGCAGCUGUGGCUCCUGGGUCCCUGUCACCUGCAAGCCGGAGAAGGAUGGACUUUCUUCUGAGUAAAUUCCACACAUCAGGACUGUGUUAACCACGGCCCCCAACCCCUCCAGGCUCCUGAGCCGGCCUCAUCCCGCCUCGAGACUUGGGACCAGCUGACCGCCUCUCUAUGUAAGCCAGCGCUCAUUCCUCGAGGAAACGCCAUCUGGGAUUCCGACCACUUGUGACCUGCCUGGCCUCUAAGGCAUUUGAGUGUACAAUCUGUAAUCUCGACUGUUCCUCAGCCUGCUUUCUCCAGGCCCAUUUUGGAGUUUGGAACGGUACGUUCAGCUCUUCUCGGAGUUCUUCCUUGCAACCAAAAACAGUGCUCCAACCGGAAUCUUGGAUGAGGCCGAUUUCCUGGGGAAACAGCUUCUGGAUAAAGAAUGCUCAAAGGGUUGCAGCAGUGGGGAAGUUAAGAGACUGGGUCCAGGUGGUCAGAGAAAGAGCUGGAUUUGGAACGUGGUUCUGGGACCUUGGAGCUGUGUGAGCUUGGGCAGAUCACUUCACUUCUAGAAGCCUCAGUUUCCCUACCUAUUAAAUGAAAAUAAUACCGACUUUGCAAGGUUGUUAUCACCAUGAAUAAAGCUGCAAUGCAGGGUCUAUAAGGGGUGUAUCCUUUUGCUCAGAAGUGUCUAGUUCCCAUUCAUAGAUGUUGGGAUGGUCAUGUUGGAAACACUGCAAAGAACCUUCUGCAUUUGGGACACAAAGGCCCUCUCCCAGCUGCUCUUCCAAGGUUGAAUCACAGCCUGUUUGUACCUGCAUAGCCUCAGGUGGUUUAUUAGCAGCUCACAUGGCCUUCCAGAAAGGUUCCAGGCAUCUGGGCUAUCAAGUAUACCUGUUUUCUUGGCUAUGUGCUACCCACCACUGUGCCGGGAUGAUAAACUCACAGGAAGACGGUAGCUGGAAUGCUAAUGUGGAUUGAGUUCCCAAUGGAUAUUUUUUUAAAAUUCCCAUUUUCAACUAGGUCGCUGAUGGUUUGAAGAAUCUCACAUUUCUUCUGUGCCUGUAUGAAGCCUCAGCACACAUGGAGUUUGGGGCAAGAGUUCCGGUAUUUUCCAUGCCCCUCUGCAAGUUCUUGGGUUUACAAGGCAGUUAAACUGUGAAUAUCUGAACUAAAUCUUUCCAAGAAAAUUUGCCUGGCUCAUCCCCUCUUGGACAGUUCAGAAAUCUCGCAAAUAACCCUAGCCAGCAGGCAAUGUGGGUAAAACUGGGACAGUCCUUGAGUUGUGUGCCAGAGAGCAGCCAUUCUUGGCCCAUGCAGACAACUGGAUUUAUGUUCCAAGGUGUAAGUUGUGGUUGCGUGAAUAGUUUUCAUCCAGCUUCAGGAAAUGAAUGAAAGUUCUCCAUGGCGGCUCGUGAA